This 492-nucleotide ribosomal RNA is filed under the name uncultured bacterium. RNAcentral's name for it is "partial 16S ribosomal RNA". It matches the Rfam family "Bacterial small subunit ribosomal RNA", at positions 29 to 507 of the family's 1533-position model. The record is from RNAcentral.
AGUGAACGCUGGCGGUAGGCCUAACACAUGCAAGUCGAACGGCAGCACAGUAAGAGCUUGCUCUUACGGGUGGCGAGUGGCGGACGGGUGAGGAAUACAUCGGAAUCUACUUUUUCGUGGGGGAUAACGUAGGGAAACUUACGCUAAUACCGCAUACGACCUACGGGUGAAAGCAGGGGAUCUUCGGACUUUGCGCGAUUGAAUGAGCCGAUGUCGGAUUAGCUAGUUGGCGGGGUAAAGGCCCACCAAGGCGACGAUCCGUAGCCGGUCUGAGAGGAUGAUCAGCCACACUGGAACUGAGACACGGUCCAGACUCCUACGGGAGGCAGCAGUGGGGAAUAUUGGACAAUGGGCGCAAGCCUGAUCCAGCCAUACCGCGUGGGUGAAGAAGGCCUUCGGGUUGUAAAGCCCUUUUGUUGGGAAAGAAAAGCAGCAGGUUAAUACCCCGCUGUUCUGACGGUACCCAAAGAAUAAGCACCGGCUAACUUCGUG